UGGGGAAUUUUGGACAAUGGGGGAAACCCUGAUCCAGCAAUGCCGCGUGAGUGAAGAAGGCCUUCGGGUUGUAAAGCUCUUUUGUCAGGGAAGAAACACCGGCUCUAACACAGUCCGGGAAUGACGGUACCUGAAGAAUAAGCACCGGCUAACUACGUGCCAGCAGCCGCGGUAAUACGUAGGGUGCAAGCGUUAAUCGGAAUUACUGGGCGUAAAGCGUGCGCAGGCGGUUAUACAAGACAGGCGUGAAAUCCCCGGGCUUAACCUGGGAAUGGCGCCUGUGACUGUAUAGCUAGAGUGUGUCAGAGGGGGGUAGAAUUCCACGUGUAGCAGUGAAAUGCGUAGAUAUGUGGAGGAAUACCAAUGGCGAAGGCAGCCCCCUGGGAUAACACUGACGCUCAUGCACGAAAGCGUGGGGAGCAAACAGGAUUAGAUACCCUGGUAGUCCACGCCCUAAACGAUGCUGACUAGUUGUUCGGGAUUUACAUCCUGAGUAACGUAGCUAACGCGUGAAGUCAGCCGCCUGGGGAGUACGGUCGCAAGAUUA
This 547-nucleotide ribosomal RNA is filed under the name uncultured beta proteobacterium. RNAcentral describes it as "bacterial SSU rRNA". It matches the Rfam family "Bacterial small subunit ribosomal RNA", at positions 355 to 896 of the family's 1533-position model. RNAcentral also lists the same sequence under 1 other name. The record is from RNAcentral. Lineage: Bacteria; Pseudomonadati; Pseudomonadota; Betaproteobacteria.